AACGCGAAGAACCUUACCAGGGCUUGACAUGGAGAGGCUGUGUCCAGAGAUGGGCAUUCCCGCAAGGGCCUCUUGCACAGGUGCUGCAUGGCUGUCGUCAGCUCGUGUCGUGAGAUGUUGGGUUAAGUCCCGCAACGAGCGCAACCCUCGCCUUCAGUUGCCAUCACGUUUGGGUGGGCACUCUGAAGGAACUGCCGGUGACAAGCCGGAGGAAGGUGGGGAUGACGUCAAGUCCUCAUGGCCCUUAUGUCCUGGGCUACACACGUGCUACAAUGGCGGUGACAGCGGGAAGCCAGGUCGCGAGGCCGAGCUGAUCCCGAAAAGCCGUCUCAGUUCGGAUUGCACUCUGCAACUCGGGUGCAUGAAGGUGGAAUCGCUAGUAAUCGCGGAACAGCAUGCCGCGGUGAAUACGUUCCCGGGCCUUGUA
This 427-nucleotide ribosomal RNA is filed under the name uncultured Alphaproteobacteria bacterium. RNAcentral describes it as "bacterial SSU rRNA". It matches the Rfam family "Bacterial small subunit ribosomal RNA", at positions 958 to 1385 of the family's 1533-position model. The record is from RNAcentral. Lineage: Bacteria; Pseudomonadati; Pseudomonadota; Alphaproteobacteria.